GACGUAGGGUGCAAGCGUUAUCCGGAUUUACUGGGCGUAAAGAGCGCGUAGGCGGCUCGUUAAGUGUGAAGUGAAAUCUUCGGGCUCAACCCGGAAACUGCUUCGCAUACUGGCGAGCUUGAGGGGCACAGAGGCAACUGGAAUUCCUGGUGAAGCGGUGAAAUGCGUAGAUAUCAGGAGGAACUCCCAUGGCGAAGGCAGGUUGCUGGGUGCCAUCUGACGCUGAGGCGCGAAAGCUAGGGGAGCAAACGGG
Molecule: ribosomal RNA, 253 nt
Filed under: uncultured bacterium
Lineage: Bacteria
Description: partial 16S ribosomal RNA
Rfam family: Bacterial small subunit ribosomal RNA
Source: RNAcentral